CCCCUCCAAUUUCCUUCCCCGUCAGAUCUAAACCCUGGUCUGAGUGGUUACAAAAAGAGAAAAAAUCAAAUGGAAACUGACUUCCCUGCAUUUUUGGCACAUGGGCGAGUUUCAAACAAAA
This 121-nucleotide small nucleolar RNA is filed under the name Echinops telfairi (small Madagascar hedgehog). RNAcentral's name for it is "Small nucleolar RNA SNORA61 (ENSETEG00000024384.1)". Lineage: Eukaryota; Metazoa; Chordata; Mammalia; Afrosoricida; Tenrecidae. The record is from RNAcentral.